RNAcentral lists this small RNA (395 nucleotides) under Pan troglodytes (chimpanzee). RNAcentral's name for it is "processed transcript". Lineage: Eukaryota; Metazoa; Chordata; Mammalia; Primates; Hominidae. The record is from RNAcentral.
UCGCUUCUAUGAGCUAGUGAAUCCAUUAAGAAAGGAAAUCUGUGAACUACAAGUGAAAAAGAAUAUCCUAGCAGAAGAAUUAAGUACAAACAAAAACCAACUGAAGCAGCUGACAGAGACAUAUGAGGAAGAUCGAAAAAACUACUCUGAAGUUCAAAUUAGAUGUCAACGUUUGGCCUUAGAAUUAGCAGACACAAAACAGUUAAUUCAGCAAGGUGACUACCGUCAAGAGAACUAUGAUAAAGUCAAGAGUGAACGUGAUGCACUUGAACAGGAAGUAAUUGAGCUUAGGAGAAAACAUGAAAUACUUGAAGCCUCUCACAUAAUUCAGACAAAAGAACGAAGUGAAUUAUCAAAAGAGAGACCAUUAUAAAACAGAAUAUGAAAAUAAACUA